This 408-nucleotide ribosomal RNA is filed under the name Culicoides schultzei. RNAcentral's name for it is "partial 16S ribosomal RNA". Lineage: Eukaryota; Metazoa; Arthropoda; Insecta; Diptera; Ceratopogonidae. The record is from RNAcentral.
UGACCGGUUCCAAGGUAGCAUAAUCAUUUGUCUUUUAAUUAAAGGCUUGUAUGAAUGGUUGGAUGAGAUAUAAUCUAUUUUUAUUUAAUUAAAAAUGAAUUUUAAUUUUUAGUAAAAAUGCUAAAAUAAAAAAUAUAGACGAGAAGACCCUAUAAAUCUUUAUUAUUUUUUUAUUAAUUUAUUAAUAGAAUAAAAAAUUUAUUAAUAAAACAAUAAUUUUAUUGGGGUGAUAAUGAAAUUUAAUAAACUUUUAUUUUAUUUUAUAAAUAUAAUUAAUUUAAUGAUCCAUUUUUAAUGAUUAUAAAAUUAAGUUACUUUAGGGAUAACAGCGUAAUUAUUUUAAAGAGUUCAUAUCGAUAAAAUAGUUUGCGACCUCGAUGUUGAAUUAAGAGUAAGUUUAGGUGUAGA